This 433-nucleotide ribosomal RNA is filed under the name uncultured bacterium. Its description in RNAcentral is "partial 16S ribosomal RNA". It matches the Rfam family "Bacterial small subunit ribosomal RNA", at positions 29 to 507 of the family's 1533-position model. The record is from RNAcentral.
AACGAACGCUGGCGGCAUGCCUAACACAUGCAAGUCGAACGAUGCCUUCGGGUAUAGUGGCGCACGGGUGCGUAACGCGUGGGAAUCUGCCUUUCGGUUCGGAAUAACUCAGGGAAACUUGUGCUAAUACCGGAUAAUGUCGCAAGACCAAAGAUUUAUCACCGUAAGAUGAGCCCGCGUAGGAUUAGCUAGUUGGUGGGGUAAAGGCUCACCAAGGCGACGAUCCUUAGCUGGUCUGAGAGGAUGAUCAGCCACACUGGGACUGAGACACGGCCCAGACUCCUACGGGAGGCAGCAGUGGGGAAUAUUGGACAAUGGGCGAAAGCCUGAUCCAGCAAUGCCGCGUGAGUGAUGAAGGCCUUAGGGUUGUAAAGCUCUUUUACCCGGGAAGAUAAUGACGGUACCGGGAGAAUAAGCCCCGGCUAACUCCGUG